CACAACGGCCCGUCAAAGCCUGAUCGCUUUAGAUCUCAGAAGCUAAGCAAGGCUGGGCCCGGUUAGUGCUUGGAUGGGAGACCACUGGGAAUUCCCGAUGCCACAGCGG
This 109-nucleotide ribosomal RNA is filed under the name Periophthalmus magnuspinnatus. The record is from RNAcentral. Lineage: Eukaryota; Metazoa; Chordata; Actinopteri; Gobiiformes; Gobiidae.